UAGGGAAUAUUGGACAAUGGGGGGAACCCUGAUCCAGCCAUGCCGCGUGGAGGAAGACUGCCCUCUGGGUUGUAAACUCCUUUUAUAUGGGAAGAACCGUCCUCAUUGAUGAGUGACCUGACGGUACCACAGGGAUAAGCACCGGCUAACUCCGUGCCAGCAGCCGCGGUAAUACGGAGGGUGCAAGCGUUAUCCGGAUUCACUGGGUUUAAAGGGUGCGUAGGCGGAUAUGUAAGUCAGUGGUGAAAUCAACGGGCUCAACCUGUUAACUGCCAUUGAUACUGUGUAUCUUGAAUAUGAGAGAGGUAGGCGGAAUGUUGCAUGUAGCGGUGAAAUGCUUAGAUAUGCUACGGAACACCGAUUGCGAAGGCAGCUUACUAUUUCGUAAUUGACGCUGAGGCACGAAAGCGUGGGUAGCGAACA
This 423-nucleotide ribosomal RNA is filed under the name uncultured bacterium. Its description in RNAcentral is "bacterial SSU rRNA". It matches the Rfam family "Bacterial small subunit ribosomal RNA", at positions 355 to 774 of the family's 1533-position model. The record is from RNAcentral.